Molecule: ribosomal RNA, 638 nt
Filed under: uncultured bacterium
Lineage: Bacteria
Description: bacterial SSU rRNA
Rfam family: Bacterial small subunit ribosomal RNA (bases 1-536)
Source: RNAcentral
CCUACGGGAGGCAGCAGUAAGGAAUAUUGGUCAAUGGACGCAAGUCUGAACCAGCCAUGCCGCGUGAAGGAUGAAGGUCCUCUGGAUUGUAAACUUCUUUUAUCUGGGACGAAACCCAUCUUUUCUAAGGUGAUUGACGGUACCAGAGGAAUAAGCACCGGCUAACUCCGUGCCAGCAGCCGCGGUAAUACGGAGGGUGCAAGCGUUAUCCGGAUUCACUGGGUUUAAAGGGUGCGUAGGUGGGUUGCCAAGUCCGUGGUGAAAUCUCCGAGCUUAACUCGGAAACUGCCAUGGAUACUGGUAGUCUUGAAUUAUCUGGAGGUCAGCGGAAUAUGUCAUGUAGCGGUGAAAUGCUUAGAUAUGACAUAGAACACCAAUUGCGAAGGCAGCUGACUACGGGUAUAUUGACACUGAGGCACGAAAGCGUGGGGAUCAAACAGGAUUAGAUACCCUGGUAGUCCACGCCCUAAACUAUGGAUACUCGACAUCGCGAUACACAGUGAGUGUCUGAGCGAAGACAUUAAGUUAUACCCACCCGUCGGAAGGUAACGACCGACCGAGGUUAGUAAACGUACGAAAGAAAGUUAGUACGGACGUGAGACGUACGACCGACGGACGACGACGAGGGGAGGAGGGAG